This 478-nucleotide ribosomal RNA is filed under the name uncultured bacterium. Its description in RNAcentral is "partial 16S ribosomal RNA". It matches the Rfam family "Bacterial small subunit ribosomal RNA", at positions 28 to 506 of the family's 1533-position model. The record is from RNAcentral.
GAUGAACGCUAGCGGGAGGCCUAACACAUGCAAGCCGAGCGGUAUUUGUUCUUCGGAACAGAGAGAGCGGCGCACGGGUGCGGAACACGUGUGCAACCUGCCUUUAUCUGGGGGAUAGCCUUUCGAAAGGAAGAUUAAUACCCCAUAAUAUAUUGAGUGGCAUCAUUUGAUAUUGAAAACUCCGGUGGAUAGAGAUGGGCACGCGCAAGAUUAGAUAGUUGGUGAGGUAACGGCUCACCAAGUCAAUGAUCUUUAGGGGGCCUGAGAGGGUGAUCCCCCACACUGGUACUGAGACACGGACCAGACUCCUACGGGAGGCAGCAGUGAGGAAUAUUGGACAAUGGGUUAGCGCCUGAUCCAGCCAUCCCGCGUGAAGGACGACGGCCCUAUGGGUUGGAAACUUCUUUUGUAUAGGGAUAAACCUACUCUCGUGAGAGUAGCUGAAGGUACUAUACGAAUAAGCACCGGCUAACUCCGU